CUGCAGGUACCGAGCAUGCUUGAGGCCCAGAAACAAGAGCCUGAAGCGUCCGCCAAGGGCCGCCGGAUGCUGUGAGAGAGCAUCUGGGUCCGCAAGAGACCGCUGGAGAACCUCGUGCAACGACUUCAACACAGUCCCUCCGGCAGAGCUAAAUUCCUCAGUGGCCAUCUGCAAUUCAAGUGCUCACACCAUCAGUCGAUGAAUUUCCCUUCAAGAGCUACUGCACUAGUCAUGGCCACCUCCAAGAACGGUAUUGAGUCAGGCAUAAAACCAACUUGCUUCUCGUCCAAGGCAUUUGAUUCCAAAGCACGGGUUCAGGUCAGCAGCAUUGCCUACCUGCCAUGCUUCCAGAAAGAACGAGAGCCAGAGGUGGUGGCAAGCAAUUGCGUCGGUCAUCGCUGACAGGUCUGGCGGCGCGCCCGUGCUGUUCCGGAAUGUACCGGCGUCGAAACUCGUGUCGAAGAGG
This 466-nucleotide long non-coding RNA is filed under the name Coccomyxa subellipsoidea. RNAcentral's name for it is "long non-coding RNA (CSUB_LNC000171)". The record is from RNAcentral. Lineage: Eukaryota; Viridiplantae; Chlorophyta; Trebouxiophyceae; Coccomyxaceae.